This 528-nucleotide ribosomal RNA is filed under the name uncultured Gammaproteobacteria bacterium. RNAcentral's name for it is "bacterial SSU rRNA". It matches the Rfam family "Bacterial small subunit ribosomal RNA", at positions 350 to 869 of the family's 1533-position model. The record is from RNAcentral. Lineage: Bacteria; Pseudomonadati; Pseudomonadota; Gammaproteobacteria.
AGCAGUGGGGAAUAUUGGACAAUGGGCGGAAGCCUGAUCCAGCCAUGCCGCGUGUGUGAAGAAGGCCUUUUGGUUGUAAAGCACUUUAAGCGAGGAGGAGGCUACUGGUACUAAUACUACUGGAUAGUGGACGUUACUCGCAGAAUAAGCACCGGCUAACUCUGUGCCAGCAGCCGCGGUAAUACAGAGGGUGCGAGCGUUAAUCGGAUUUACUGGGCGUAAAGCGUGCGUAGGCGGCUGAUUAAGUCGGAUGUGAAAUCCCUGAGCUUAACUUAGGAAUUGCAUUCGAUACUGGUCAGCUAGAGUAUGGGAGAGGAUGGUAGAAUUCCAGGUGUAGCGGUGAAAUGCGUAGAGAUCUGGAGGAAUACCGAUGGCGAAGGCAGCCAUCUGGCCUAAUACUGACGCUGAGGUACGAAAGCAUGGGGAGCAAACAGGAUUAGAUACCCUGGUAGUCCAUGCCGUAAACGAUGUCUACUAGCCGUUGGGGCCUUUGAGGCUUUAGUGGCGCAGCUAACGCGAUAAGUAGAC